Molecule: long non-coding RNA, 440 nt
Filed under: Nicotiana tabacum (common tobacco)
Lineage: Eukaryota; Viridiplantae; Streptophyta; Magnoliopsida; Solanales; Solanaceae
Description: long non-coding RNA (NTAB_LNC018928)
Source: RNAcentral
AAAAUAAUAGCCGGAAAAUGUAUAAAUAUACAUAUAAUUUUUAUUAUAUGCUCUUACUCUAUUGGUUUAUGUUACUUGUAGGAGUGUUGUGUAUAAAGAACAAGUGAGGUUGAAUCAGGCAGCAGCUAAUGCUCUUAUGGCAAGACUUGAAGCUCAAAGAGCAAUUUGUGAUUCUGCAGAGAGAGAGCUACACAAGAGAUUCAAAUAUAGAGAUGAACUCGAGCAACAGAUAAGACCUGAGUGGGACCAAACAAGAAAAAGAUCAAGAAUGGAUGAAUUUCCAGAUGAAGAGAGAGCUACACAAGAGAUUCAAAUAUAGAGAUGAACUCGAGCAACAGAUAAGACCUGAGUGGGACCAAACAAGAAAAAGAUCAAGAAUGGAUGAAUUUCCAGAUGAAGAGGGAGAUGAGAAGACUCUCCUCUGUCUUCCUGGCAGCAGC